This 450-nucleotide ribosomal RNA is filed under the name uncultured bacterium. Its description in RNAcentral is "bacterial SSU rRNA". It matches the Rfam family "Bacterial small subunit ribosomal RNA", at positions 354 to 796 of the family's 1533-position model. The record is from RNAcentral.
GUGGGGAAUUUUGGACAAUGGGCGAAAGCCUGAUCCAGCCAUGCCGCGUGAGUGAAGAAGGCCUUCGGGUUGUAAAGCUCUUUCGGUCGAGAAGAAAUGUCUAUGACUAAUACUUAUAGAAAAUGACGGUAUCGACAUAAGAAGCACCGGCUAACUACGUGCCAGCAGCCGCGGUAAUACGUAGGGUGCAAGCGUUAAUCGGAAUUAUUGGGCGUAAAGGGUGCGCAGGCUGUGUUGUAAGUCAGAUGUGAAAUCCCCGGGCUUAACCUGGGAAUUGCGUUUGAAACUGCAAUGCUAGAGUGUGAUAGAGGAGAGUGGAAUUCCAUGUGUAGCAGUGAAAUGCGUAGAGAUGUGGAAGAACACCAAUGGCGAAGGCAGCUCUCUGGAUUAACACUGACGCUCAUGCACGAAAGCGUGGGGAGCAAACAGGAUUAGAAACCCUAGUAGUCC